GAACGCUAGCGACAGGCUUAACACAUGCAAGUCGAGGGGCAGCACAGGUAGCAAUACCGGGUGGCGACCGGCGCACGGGUGAGUAACGCGUAUGCAACUUGCCUAUCAGAGGGGGAUAACCCGGCGAAAGUCGGACUAAUACCGCAUGAAGCAGGGAUCCCGCAUGGGAAUAUUUGCUAAAGAUUCAUCGCUGAUAGAUAGGCAUGCGUUCCAUUAGGCAGUUGGCGGGGUAACGGCCCACCAAACCGACGAUGGAUAGGGGUUCUGAGAGGAAGGUCCCCCACAUUGGUACUGAGACACGGACCAAACUCCUACGGGAGGCAGCAGUGAGGAAUAUUGGUCAAUGGGCGUAAGCCUGAACCAGCCAAGUCGCGUGAGGGAUGAAGGUUCUAUGGAUCGUAAACCUCUUUUAUAAGGGAAUAAAGUGACCCACGUGUGGGUUUUUGUAUGUACCUUAUGAAUAAGGAUCGGCUAACUCCGUGCCAGCAGCCGCGGUAAUACGGAGGAUCCGAGCGUUAUCCGGAUUUAUUGGGUUUAAAGGGUGCGUAGGCGGCCUUUUAAGUCAGCGGUGAAAGUCUGUGGCUCAACCAUAGAAUUGCCGUUGAAACUGGGGGGCUUGAGUAUGUUUGAGGCAGGCGGAAUGCGUGGUGUAGCGGUGAAAUGCAUAGAUAUCACGCAGAACCCCGAUUGCGAAGGCAGCCUGCCAAGCCAUGACUGACGCUGAUGCACGAAAGCGUGGGGAUCAAACAGGAUUAGAUACCCUGGUAGUCCACGCAGUAAACGAUGAUCACUAGCUGUUUGCGAUACACUGUAAGCGGCACAGCGAAAGCGUUAAGUGAUCCACCUGGGGAGUACGCCGGCAACGGUGAAACUCAAAGGAAUUGACGGGGGCCCGCACAAGCGGAGGAACAUGUGGUUUAAUUCGAUGAUACGCGAGGAACCUUACCCGGGUUUGAACGCAUUCGGACCGAGGUGGAAACACCUCUUCUAGCAAUAGCCGUUUGCGAGGUGCUGCAUGGUUGUCGUCAGCUCGUGCCGUGAGGUGUCGGCUUAAGUGCCAUAACGAGCGCAACCCUUGCCACUAGUUACUAACAGGUAAAGCUGAGGACUCUGGUGGGACUGCCAGCGUAAGCUGCGAGGAAGGCGGGGAUGACGUCAAAUCAGCACGGCCCUUACAUCCGGGGCGACACACGUGUUACAAUGGCGUGGACAAAGGGAAGCCACCUGGCGACAGGGAGCGAAUCCCCAAACCACGUCUCAGUUCGGAUCGGAGUCUGCAACCCGACUCCGUGAAGCUGGAUUCGCUAGUAAUCGCGCAUCAGCCAUGGCGCGGUGAAUACGUUCCCGGGCCUUGUACACACCGCCCGUCAAGCCAUGGGAGCCGGGGGUACCUGAAGUACGUAACCGCAAGGAGCGUCCUAGGGUAAAACUGGUAAUUGG
RNAcentral lists this ribosomal RNA (1440 nucleotides) under uncultured organism. RNAcentral describes it as "SSU rRNA". It matches the Rfam family "Bacterial small subunit ribosomal RNA". The record is from RNAcentral.